This 440-nucleotide ribosomal RNA is filed under the name uncultured bacterium. RNAcentral describes it as "partial 16S ribosomal RNA". It matches the Rfam family "Bacterial small subunit ribosomal RNA", at positions 338 to 795 of the family's 1533-position model. The record is from RNAcentral.
CCUACGGGUCGCAGCAGUGGGGAAUAUUGCACAAUGGGGGAAACCCUGAUGCAGCGACGCCGCGUGAGUGAAGAAGUAUUUCGGUACGUAAAGCUCUAUCAGCAGGGAAGAAAAUGACGGUACCUGACUAAGAAGCCCCGGCUAACUACGUGCCAGCAGCCGCGGUAAUACGUAGGGGGCAAGCGUUAUCCGGAUUUACUGGGUGUAAAGGGAGCGUAGACGGCAGCGCAAGUCUGGAGUGAACUCCCAUGGCUUAACCAUGGAACUGCUUUGGAAACUGUGCAGCUAGAGUGCAGGAGAGGUAAGCGGAAUUCCUAGUGUAGCGGUGAAAUGCGUAGAUAUUAGGAGGAACACCAGUGGCGAAGGCGGCUGACUGGACUGUAACUGACGUUGAGGCUCGAAAGCGUGGGGAGCAAACAGGAUUAGAUACCCCGGUAGUC